GAUAAGGGGUGCCACCAUUAGGUGGCCGCAGAGAAUAGGCCCAAGCGACUGUUUACCAAAACCAUAGGUUUCUGCUAAGUCGCAAGACGAUGUAUAGGAGCUGACGCCUGCCCGGUGCUGGAAGGUUAAGGGGAUCUGUUAGAGUAAUCGAAGCAGUGAACUUAAGCACCAGUAAACGGCGGCCGUAACUAUAACGGUCCUAAGGUAGCGAAAUUCCUUGUCGGGUAAGUUCCGACCCGCCCGAAAGGCGUAACGAUUUGGGCACUGUCUCAACAACAGACUCGGUGAACUUGUAAUUCCGGUGAAGAUGCCGGAUACCUGCGACAGGACGGAAAGACCACAUGGAGCUUUACUGUAGCUUGACAUUGGGUCUUGGUACUACAUGUCCAGGAUAGGUGGGAGGCUUUGAAACCAGGCCGCCAGUUUUGGCGGUGCCAUCCUUGG
Molecule: ribosomal RNA, 444 nt
Filed under: Clostridioides difficile
Lineage: Bacteria; Bacillati; Bacillota; Clostridia; Peptostreptococcales; Peptostreptococcaceae
Description: bacterial LSU rRNA
Rfam family: Bacterial large subunit ribosomal RNA
Source: RNAcentral